CGUGUGAGCAGCAGUUCAACAUGGGUCAGUCGGUCGUAAGGGAAAGCAGAAGUGUUUUCCAAAGCGGGAGCAGUUUUGGCUGUGGAGAGAGCCCCGCAGUGAUCGAAAUGGAAUAGGGUUAAUAAUCCCGAACCCGGACGCGGAGAUUGGUCCUUCGGGGCCCAGUGCGGUAACGCAAAACCUCUCGGAGACGCCGAUGCGAGCCCCGGGAAGAGUUUUCCUUUCUCUGUAAGGAGAUCGAGUCCCUGGAAUGGGUUCGCCCCGAGAUAGGGAUGAUGGCUCCGUAGAGCAGUGCGGCUCUUGCGCUGUCCGGUGCGCUCACGUCGGCUCUUGAAAAUCCCAAAUGAGGGAGUGUGAUUUUCGUGCCGGACCGCACCCACAUCCGCAGCAGGUCUCCAAGGUGAACAGAAUCUAGUCCAUGGACCAAUGUAGGUAAAGGCGCGUUCACACUCUUGCAAACGAGUACGACCGAGAAAGACUUCUUGGGAACGGAUGCACUGAGCGGAGCUGGUCCUAAGAGAUCGCAAGAGGCUUAAAAACCGGUUUGGUCUCUCUCGGUCGCACUCGGUUGCAAGAGUGUGAACGGGCCUUAAGGGAAGUCGGCAAAACGGAUCCGUAACCUUGAGAUAAGGAUUGGCUCUGAGGACUGAGCCGGUCGGGCUGGACACCUGAAGCAGGAACGGCAAUGCACCGGGGGCGGGGAUCGCUGUUCACGCAGCGCGGCCAAGCCGGGACCCGGGUAGGGACCUUCCUGUUGAAAGCCUCAGCAGCGCGGCGUCUGAGGGCUUAGUGCCGAAAGUACUAUGCUUCAGCCGAAAAAAAAACAAAAAAACAGUCAACUCAGAACUGGCACGGACCGGGGUAGUCCGACUAUAUAAUUUAAAAGAAAGCAUUGCGAUGGCCGCUGGUCGCUGUCGACGCAAUGCGAUUUCUGCCCAGUGCUAUAAAUGUUAAAGGGGCGGUGCAACAAUUUUACGAAUAAAAAAAUUUGCAUCUCGUCAUUUUUACGUUGUUUAUCGUGUCCCGGAGGAUAGAGAAA
This 1039-nucleotide non-coding RNA is filed under the name Ixodes scapularis (black-legged tick). RNAcentral's name for it is "Eukaryotic large subunit ribosomal RNA". It matches the Rfam family "Eukaryotic large subunit ribosomal RNA", at positions 1510 to 2239 of the family's 3401-position model. Lineage: Eukaryota; Metazoa; Arthropoda; Arachnida; Ixodida; Ixodidae. The record is from Rfam by way of RNAcentral.